UACGCCGUGGUCCACGAGGACUCCGUCGUUAAGAUCGACGACAGCGUGCCCUUCGAGUCGGCCGCUCUGCUCGGCUGCGCCGUGCCCA
RNAcentral lists this transfer RNA (88 nucleotides) under Mycobacteroides chelonae. RNAcentral describes it as "tRNA-Leu". The record is from RNAcentral. RNAcentral also lists the same sequence under 1 other name. Lineage: Bacteria; Bacillati; Actinomycetota; Actinomycetes; Mycobacteriales; Mycobacteriaceae.